GGAGAGAUGGUCGAGCGGUUUAAGGCUCCGGUCUUGAAAACCGGCGUGGUAAUACCACCGAGGGUUCGAAUCCCUCUCUCUCCU
RNAcentral lists this transfer RNA (84 nucleotides) under Zygnema circumcarinatum. RNAcentral's name for it is "tRNA-Ser". It matches the Rfam family "tRNA". Rfam says of the family: Transfer RNA (tRNA) molecules are approximately 80 nucleotides in length. Their secondary structure includes four short double-helical elements and three loops (D, anti-codon, and T loops). The record is from RNAcentral. Lineage: Eukaryota; Viridiplantae; Streptophyta; Zygnematophyceae; Zygnematales; Zygnemataceae.